UACGUAGGUGGCAAGCGUUGUCCGGAUUUACUGGGUGUAAAGGGCGUGUAGCCGGGUUGACAAGUCAGAUGUGAAAUCCUGCGGCUUAACCGCAGAACUGCAUUUGAAACUGUUGAUCUUGAGUACUGGAGAGGCAGACGGAAUUCCUAGUGUAGCGGUGAAAUGCGUAGAUAUUAGGAGGAACAUCGGUGGCGAAAGCGCUUUACUGGACCAUUAUUGACGCUGAGGAACGAAAGCCAGGGGAGCAAAUGGG
Molecule: ribosomal RNA, 253 nt
Filed under: uncultured Oscillospiraceae bacterium
Lineage: Bacteria; Bacillati; Bacillota; Clostridia; Eubacteriales; Oscillospiraceae
Description: partial 16S ribosomal RNA
Rfam family: Bacterial small subunit ribosomal RNA
Source: RNAcentral